UCCUGGCUUGGGAUGAACGCUGGCGGCGUGCCUAACACAUGCAAGUCGAGCGGUAUACAUUGGAAUGAAACUUCGGUCGAGUGAAGAUGUAGAGAGCGGCGGACGGGUGAGUAACGCGUAGGCAACCUGCCCCAUACAGAGGGAUAGCCUCGGGAAACCGGGAUUAAAACCUCAUAAUGCGAGAGAGUCACAUGGCUUUUUCGCCAAAGAUUUAUCGGUAUGGGAUGGGCCUGCGUCUGAUUAGCUAGUUGGUGGGGUAACGGCUCACCAAGGCAACGAUCAGUAGCCGACCUGAGAGGGUAAUCGGCCACAUUGGAACUGAGACACGGUCCAAACUCCUACGGGAGGCAGCAGUGGGGAAUAUUGCACAAUGGGCGAAAGCCUGAAUGCAGCAACGCCGCGUGAGCGAUGAAGGCCUUUGGGUCGUAAAGCUCUGUCCUUGGGGAAGAAUAAAUGACGGUACCCUUGGAGGAAGCCCCGGCUAACUACGUGCCAGCCGCCGC
This 503-nucleotide ribosomal RNA is filed under the name uncultured bacterium. Its description in RNAcentral is "bacterial SSU rRNA". It matches the Rfam family "Bacterial small subunit ribosomal RNA", at positions 17 to 518 of the family's 1533-position model. The record is from RNAcentral.